UACGGGGGGGGCAAGCGUUGUUCGGAAUUACUGGGCGUAAAGGGCGCGCAGGCGGUUCGGCACGUCCGUUGUGAAAUCGCUCGGCUCAACUGGGCGGGGUCAGCGGAUACGGUCGAACUUGAGCAAGCUAGGGGGCAAUGGAAUUCCCGGUGUAGUGGUGGAAUGCGUAGAUAUCGGGAGGAACACCAGUGGCGAAGGCGGUUGCCUGGAGCUUUGCUGACGCUGAGGCGCGAAAGCGUGGGGAGCGAUCCGG
RNAcentral lists this ribosomal RNA (253 nucleotides) under uncultured bacterium. RNAcentral describes it as "partial 16S ribosomal RNA". It matches the Rfam family "Bacterial small subunit ribosomal RNA", at positions 524 to 776 of the family's 1533-position model. The record is from RNAcentral.